CACAAGCGGUGGAGCAUGUGGUUAAUUCGAUGCAACGCGAAGAACCUUACCUACUCUGACAUCCACAGAACUUUCCAGAGAUGGAUUGGUGCCUUCGGGAACUGUGAGACAGGUGCUGCAUGGCUGUCGUCAGCUCGUGUUGUGAAAUGUUGGGUUAAGUCCCGCAACGAGCGCAACCCUAUCCUUAUUUGCCAGCACGUAAUGGUGGGAACUCUAGGGAGACUGCCGGUGAUAAACCGGAGGAAGGUGGGGACGACGUCAAGUCAUCAUGGCCCUUACGAGUAGGGCUACACACGUGCUACAAUGGCGAGUACAGAGGGUUGCAAAGCCGCGAGGUGGAGCUAAUCUCACAAAGCUCGUCGUAGUCCGGAUUGGAGUCUGCAACUCGACUCCAUGAAGUUGGAAUCGCUAGUAAUCGCGCAUCAGCAUGGCGCGGUGAAUACGUUCCCGGGCCUU
RNAcentral lists this ribosomal RNA (456 nucleotides) under uncultured Shewanella sp. RNAcentral's name for it is "bacterial SSU rRNA". It matches the Rfam family "Bacterial small subunit ribosomal RNA", at positions 924 to 1382 of the family's 1533-position model. The record is from RNAcentral. Lineage: Bacteria; Pseudomonadati; Pseudomonadota; Gammaproteobacteria; Alteromonadales; Shewanellaceae.